AGUGAACGCUGGCGGCGUGGUUGAGACAUGCAAGUCGAACGAGCCGUUCGGCCGAAAGGUUGGACGGCUAGUGGCGAAAGGGAGAGUACAAAGCAGGCAACGUACCCCGGACACUGGGACAGUCCGCCGAAAGGCGGGUUAAUACCAGAUGACGUUCCGGUUCGGAUGAACCGGAAUCAAAGGUGGGGAUCCUUCGGGACCUGUCGGUCUGGGAGCGGCCUACUCCGUAUCAGCUAGUUGGUGAGGUAACGGCUCACCAAGGCGAUGACGCGUAGCCGGCCUUAGCGGGUGUCCGGCCUCACUGGGACUGAGACACUGCCCAGAGCCCUACGGGGUGCAGCAGUCUCGAAUCAUCCGCAAUGCGCGCAAGCGUGACGGUGCGACGCCGCGUGCGGGAGGAAGCCCUUCGGGGUGUAAACCGCUUUUCGGAGGCAUGAAGCGUGCCCGUUGAACAGGCGGGUGGCGCAGACGUCAACU
RNAcentral lists this ribosomal RNA (477 nucleotides) under uncultured bacterium. Its description in RNAcentral is "bacterial SSU rRNA". It matches the Rfam family "Bacterial small subunit ribosomal RNA", at positions 28 to 480 of the family's 1533-position model. The record is from RNAcentral.